AUUGGACGCUGGCGGCAGGCCUAACACAUGCAAGUCGAACGGUAACAGGGAGCAGCUUGCUGCUCUGCUGACGAGUGGCGGACGGGUGAGUAAUGUCUGGGAAACUGCCUGAUGGAGGGGGAUAACUACUGGAAACGGUAGCUAAUACCGCAUAACGUCUCGGACCAAAGUGGGGGACCUUCGGGCCUCAUGCCAUCAGAUGUGCCCAGAUGGGAUUAGCUAGUAGGUGGGGUAACGGCUCACCUAGGCACGAUCCCUAGCUGGUCUGAGAGGAUGACCAGCCACACUGGAACUGAGACACGGUCCAGACUCCUACGGGAGGCAGCAGUGGGGAAUAUUGCACAAUGGGCGCAAGCCUGAUGCAGCCAUGCCGCGUGUAUGAAGAAGGCCUUCGGGUUGUAAAGUACUUUCAGCGGGGAGGAAGGUGUUGUGGUUAAUAACCGCAGCAAUUGACGUUACCCGCAGAAGAAGCACCGGCUAACUCCGUGCCAGCAGCCGCGGUAAUACG
This 508-nucleotide ribosomal RNA is filed under the name Cronobacter sakazakii. Its description in RNAcentral is "bacterial SSU rRNA". It matches the Rfam family "Bacterial small subunit ribosomal RNA", at positions 30 to 527 of the family's 1533-position model. Lineage: Bacteria; Pseudomonadati; Pseudomonadota; Gammaproteobacteria; Enterobacterales; Enterobacteriaceae. The record is from RNAcentral.